GACGAACGCUGGCGGCGUGCCUAAUACAUGCAAGUUGAGCGCUGAAGGUUGGUACUUGUACCGACUGGAUGAGCAGCGAACGGGUGAGUAACGCGUGGGGAAUCUGCCUUUGAGCGGGGGACAACAUUUGGAAACGAAUGCUAAUACCGCAUAAAAACUUUAAACACAAGUUUUAAGUUUGAAAGAUGCAAUUGCAUCACUCAAAGAUGAUCCCGCGUUGUAUUAGCUAGUUGGUGAGGUAAAGGCUCACCAAGGCGAUGAUACAUAGCCGACCUGAGAGGGUGAUCGGCCACAUUGGGACGGAGACACGGCCCAAACGCCUACGGGAGGCAGCAGGAGGGAAUCUUCGGCAAUGGACGAAAGUCUGACCGAGCAACGCCGCGUGAGUGAAGAAGGGUGUCGGAUCGUAAAACUCGGUUGGUAGAGAAGAACGUUGGUGAGAGUGGAAAGCUCAUCAAGUGACGGUAACUACUCAGAAAGGGACGGCUAACUACGUG
This 497-nucleotide ribosomal RNA is filed under the name uncultured bacterium. Its description in RNAcentral is "partial 16S ribosomal RNA". It matches the Rfam family "Bacterial small subunit ribosomal RNA", at positions 28 to 507 of the family's 1533-position model. The record is from RNAcentral.